RNAcentral lists this ribosomal RNA (843 nucleotides) under Triticum aestivum (bread wheat). RNAcentral's name for it is "partial small subunit ribosomal RNA". The record is from RNAcentral. Lineage: Eukaryota; Viridiplantae; Streptophyta; Magnoliopsida; Poales; Poaceae.
AUGAUCGAGGCGGAGCUCAACCACCUUUGCCGUCGUGUUUGGGACUGGCAGGUGACCCUGACCUCGGACAGCUCCUUCACCGUGGUCUUCCCCGAUGCCCUCAGCCUGGGCCUCUGCACUCGUAGCGACGACAUCACCCUCUCCCUCAACAAGCUCGUCAUCAACAUCUCUGAGCCCUUGAUGGACCCUAAGGCAGUUGGCGUUCUGGACAUUGCUUGGAUCCUCAUAGCGGGCCUCCCCGACAUCACCCGCUCUAAGAAGGUGAUCCGCAGUAUGUCCAAGAUUUUGGGCAAGGGAGUGGUGGUGGAUGAGCUCUCCCUCCGCAAAGAGGAGGAGGUCUGUGUCAAGGUCAAGUGCCUUGACUCCUCCACUCUCCGUGCCACCGUUCGGGUUUUCCUCAACAACCAGGGAUUCGACCUCAAGAUCUACCCCGAGCCUCCCAACCACAUCGUACGCCCUCGCCACCUCGCUGAUGGCCACUUUGGUGGGGGCAGCGUGGACAACCGCGAUGACUCCCACUACCGUCGUCCGUGCCCUUCCCGCCACGAGGACCCGGAUGACGACGAUGAGCGCUCGGGCCGCAGCCGCUCCCCUCGCGAGACCCAUCCGACCCUCCUCCGGGGCGUGGGGGUGGGGGUGCGGGCCGGUCGCGCGGGUUGGCCACCUCCGUUGAGGCUGCCCCCGCUGCGCUGCCUGUCUCCUCCCCCUCCUCUUCGGCCGAGAUCAACGACAUCUCCAGCGUCAGCCUCCUCGUCCUCCCGGCAUCUUCGCUGCGUUCGCCCUGCUCUUCCCCCGCGGCCGUCCCGCCCCCUCCGUCCCCGGGGGUGCCGCCUCCGGAGCUGA